This 400-nucleotide ribosomal RNA is filed under the name uncultured bacterium. RNAcentral describes it as "bacterial SSU rRNA". It matches the Rfam family "Bacterial small subunit ribosomal RNA", at positions 356 to 773 of the family's 1533-position model. The record is from RNAcentral.
GGGGAAUCUUAGACAAUGGGGGAAACCCUGAUCUAGCCAUGCCGCGUGAUCGAUGAAGGCCUUAGGGUUGUAAAGAUCUUUCAGUGGGGAAGAUAAUGACUGUACCCACAGAAGAAGCCUUGGCUAACUCCGUGCCAGCAGCCGCGGUAAUACGGAGGGGGCUAGCGUUAUUCGGAAUUACUGGGCGUAAAGCGCACGUAGGCGGAUCAGAAAGUCAGAGGUGAAAGCCCGGAGCUCAACCCCGGAACGGCCUUUGAAACUCCUGAUCUUGAGGUCGAGAGAGGUGAGUGGAAUUCCGAGUGUAGAGGUGAAAUUCGUAGAUAUUCGGAGGAACACCAGUGGCGAAGGCGGCUCACUGGCUCGAUACUGACGCUGAGGUGCGAAAGCGUGGGGAGCAAAC